RNAcentral lists this ribosomal RNA (253 nucleotides) under uncultured bacterium. RNAcentral describes it as "partial 16S ribosomal RNA". It matches the Rfam family "Bacterial small subunit ribosomal RNA", at positions 524 to 776 of the family's 1533-position model. The record is from RNAcentral.
UACGUAGGGGGCAAGCGUUGUCCGGAUUUAUUGGGCGUAAAGAGCGCGUAGGCGGUCCGGUAAGUCCGCUGUGAAAGUCGGGGGCUCAACCCUCGAAUGCCGGUGGAUACUGUCGGGCUAGAGUGCGGAAGAGGCGAGUGGAAUUCCUGGUGUAGCGGUGAAAUGCGCAGAUAUCAGGAGGAACACCUAUUGCGAAGGCAGCUCGCUGGGACGUAACUGACGCUGAGACGCGAAAGCGUGGGGAGCAAACAGG